Molecule: small RNA, 76 nt
Filed under: Xanthomonas oryzae
Lineage: Bacteria; Pseudomonadati; Pseudomonadota; Gammaproteobacteria; Lysobacterales; Lysobacteraceae
Also listed under: 1 other name
Description: sX9
Rfam family: Xanthomonas sRNA sX9
Source: RNAcentral
AUGUAACGCUCGUACACGGCGGUUCCUCCGCGCCGUCCACGCCUGCCUGACGACUGCUCGCUACAUGUGGGUAGCC